CAAACGAYUCUCGGCAACGGAUAUCUCGGCUCACGCAUCGAURAARAACGUAGCAAAAUGCGAUAYUUGGUGUGAAUUGCAGAAUCCCGUGAACCAUCGAGUUUUUGAACGCAAGUUGCGCCCGAAGCCUUUUGGCCGAGGGCACGUCUGCCUGGGCGUCACAC
This 164-nucleotide ribosomal RNA is filed under the name Senecio cisplatinus. RNAcentral's name for it is "5.8S ribosomal RNA". It matches the Rfam family "5.8S ribosomal RNA". Rfam says of the family: 5.8S ribosomal RNA (5.8S rRNA) is a component of the large subunit of the eukaryotic ribosome. It is transcribed by RNA polymerase I as part of the 45S precursor that also contains 18S and 28S rRNA. Functionally, it is thought that 5.8S rRNA may be involved in ribosome translocation. The record is from RNAcentral. Lineage: Eukaryota; Viridiplantae; Streptophyta; Magnoliopsida; Asterales; Asteraceae.